GAUCUGUUACCUUUUCUUAGCUACCGCAAAUUUCUUUUCUUUUUCUUUUUGUUUCUUUUUUUUUCUUUAAUAAAAUAUCAAACCCAGAAUUAGACACAGAUUCAAGAAAUGCUUUGACUAUAGUGGAGUGCAAAAUGCCUUCUAAUUUCCUUAUUCCAGAUGUACUGCUUUUGGCCCCAAACCAGAAACAAAACAAAACAAAACAAAACAAAAACCAAAAAGCAAAAACUAAAACAAAACAAAAAACACCACCAACAACCACAACCCUUCCCCAAACAAACAAACAAACAAACAAAACCAAAAAAUGAACCAAAAAACCCCACAUGAAUCCCAACUUCUACAUUCUAAAGCUACCACCCGGUCCUCUUUGGUAUCUUCACAUUUGACGAGCCUGUCUCCUGUAUUUCUCUACGGAUUGCUGAGGAGAAACACGGAUGAAGACAGGCAGCCUAUGGUUCAGUAUCACUUUACCCUUUUCCAAGUGCAUCUUUGUGAUCAGAGGCUGGGCCUCAAGUGUUUGCUAGUUGGAUCCCGCCCUUUCCCAGACUCUCCUCGCUUCUACACCUCGUAAGACAAACUUGAUUUUGAGAGAGAGUUCUGGGUUUCCUUGCAGUUUUGUGAGUACUUUAGCCAUCCUCACAUCCUCCGCUCCUGGCUGUAGCUCCCACUGCUCUCCCCUUGACCACGCUCAUCCUCCAGCUCCAUGCAUGGCAGAUGUUUCCAUAGUGUCCAUAUUCUCUUCCAUUCUAGGCUUCCUAACAUCAUGCUGCCUCUGACAGAAUUCUGGUUCUGUGGCUACUACUUACUCCCUGACCCCUACCCCUACAACAAUCCCAACCAGAAUGUUACCCUAACUACAGUCACAACCCCAACACCAUCCCCUAACCCUAUUUCAUCCCUGCCCCAACACCAAAUCAUAUUUCUAAUGUAAUCAAAUCAUAAUCUGGCCACCAGGUUACUGAUCAAAUUCACUCGAUGUGAAUUAGGCUCUCUGAGUUGACUAAUCUUCCUCGUUUGCUUGACUGAAUUUGGAAUCAGGUAUAUUUCUGGAUGUGUUUCCAGAGAGGUUGAACUGAGAGACAAAACUCACUCUUGACCAUUGGGCCACCAUCUCAUGGCUAGGGUCCUGGACUGAAUAAAAAGAGAGAGAGAGAAAAAAAAAAAUAAAAGCAGCUGAGUACCAGAAUCCUUUGCUCUCUGCGACCGACCUGUCAAGUUGUGAACGAGCUCCUGUACUCCAGCCACCUGGGAGUCACACCUGCAGCCAUGCCUUCCUUGUUGGGAUGGAGUGUACCUCCAACCCUGAGCCCAAAUGCGCCCUUCCUUAGGUUGCUUUUGUCAGGCACCUUGCAUAGGAGAGCUUACACUAUCCCCCCCACCUCACCCAAAACACCUCCCCUAUUGUCAUGGUGAGUGCUCUGUAAUUGCCUGUUAAUUUGGCAUUUUCUUCUCUUAAGGAAAAAAAUUGCAUUUGUCAGUUAUGGAGCAAAUGACAUACCUGGCCCAUACUACAUAUACCAUAAGCACUAAGUGAACUCCCACCAUGGUAAACAUUGUUGCCUACGACCCCUCAACUCCAUUUCUCUUAUUCCAAUACAUUUCUAGAAAAGGGAUGAAGGAGUUGGAGGAGACAACCCUUUCAGCGUUGCUGUUCUCCUUUUAUGUCAUGGAGACUGUUAGUGGCCUUUUCAUUAAGCUGUAACGAUCUGCUAACUAACAGAUUUUAUCUUGAGAAUGUUGAACUCUCAUUCUUACCUAUUCAAUUGCUUUUAUUUCUUUUUUCUUUUUUCUUGUUUUUUUUAUGCUCAUGAGUAUUUUGCCUACAUGUAUGUAUGUGUGCUGUAUGGAUGCCUGCUUCCCACAGAGAUCAGCAGAAGAGGGCACCAGACCCCCUGACACUGGACUUUCUGGAUGGUUGAAAGCCACCUCUGGUCUCAAACCCUGCAACUUUGCAACUGCAACAAGCGCUCUUAAGCUGAUCAGCUAUCUUUUCAGCCCCAUCCACAUUUAACUUACCUUUUUGGUGGAAUGAAACUGGUUUUUAAAAUGCAAAAUGUAAUCAAAUCAUAAUUUGGCUCGUUGCUUUUGUGCUUAGAGACUUAAGAAACAAUCUGAUACCUAAGUUUUGUUUUCAUCACUCUGCAGUUGUUACUUUGUUCAUAAUAGGGUUUCAUUAGCCAUACUGUCCUAGAAUUCCCGACAUUCUCCUACCUUAGCCUCCCAAAGGUUGAGAUUAGAGGCAUGAGCCCCCACACUGGCUUUUAAAAUGUUUAACUUAAUCCUCUGGGACUCAACCUUGGGGACAGUGGUGUGGCUAGCUUAUUGCAUUUCUUUACAUCAAGUCGUUCCUCGUCCUUUCUUAAAGAGAAGACAGAAACAGGAACUGAAAUGAGUUCUUCUGUGAACAAAUGUCUUCUUGUUGCAAAUGAGAAUGGCUGGGAGUCCAUCCAUUUCCCUGCCUGCCUUGCUUUGAGCACGCCUUGAGGACUUCUCAGUGUCCUUGGGCUCCUUGUUUUAAAUAUCUCUAUCCCUAUUUUUUUUUUAAGUGUGCUGUGCUGUAAAUCUUCCCUAGAGAGUCUGUGCACUUACUGCUUGGUCCAAGUUAUAGCCACACCUGUGGGAGUUCUCCAUGCAAAUUGCCCGUGUUCUUGAGUGUUACGGUCUCCACAUCAUUUAAUUCUUUGCUUUGUGUCACCAGUUCUUUCUCAAGUCUGCAGCUUUUACAAAUGAUAUCUUUUUAGAUCCAUAGAACCAGCCCUAUCUCCUUUUAUUCAACUUUAUCUUUUUUCUGGGCUACUUAAAUCAUUCUUGAGCCCAGCAUCCUGGGCUGACUCUCUCCAAUUCUAAACAGCUAUCUAAACAAAAGGCAGACUUGCGUUUCCCUUUGAAAAAUAAAACGAAAUCCUCUUCAUCCCAC
Molecule: long non-coding RNA, 2917 nt
Filed under: Mus musculus (house mouse)
Lineage: Eukaryota; Metazoa; Chordata; Mammalia; Rodentia; Muridae
Description: long non-coding RNA chr2:4416157-4419074
Source: RNAcentral